AUCAUUGUCAACGCAUACACAAUCCCGUCUAAUAAUGCAUGUGACCUCCUCUCUUACAAUAUAUAAUUAUUCAUAAAGGUUGUCGGUGGACACUCUUUUCCUUAUUGAAUAACUUCACCACCUUACUUUGAUUUACUUGCUUAAUGUUAAUGGAUAAUUUUAAACAGAAAACUAGCCCUUUGGUCCCUUGGCUUUAUCAGAU
This 202-nucleotide long non-coding RNA is filed under the name Carica papaya (papaya). Its description in RNAcentral is "long non-coding RNA (CPAP_LNC008842)". Lineage: Eukaryota; Viridiplantae; Streptophyta; Magnoliopsida; Brassicales; Caricaceae. The record is from RNAcentral.